GACGAACGCUGGCGGCGUGCUUAACACAUGCAAGUCGAACGGAAAGGCCCUGCUUUUGUGGGGUGCUCGAGUGGCGAACGGGUGAGUAACACGUGAGUAACCUGCCCUUGACUUUGGGAUAACUUCAGGAAACUGGGGCUAAUACCGGAUAGGAGCUCCUGCUGCAUGGUGGGGGUUGGAAAGUUUCGGCGGUUGGGGGUGGACUCGCGGCUUAUCAGCUUGUUGGUGGGGUAGUGGCUUACCAAGGCUUUGACGGGUAGCCGGCCUGAGGGGGUGACCGGCCGCAUUGGGACUGAGAUACGGCCCAGACUCCUACGGGUGGCAGCAGUGGGGAAUCUUGCACCAUGGGCGGCAGCCUGAUGCAGCAGCGCCUCGGGCGGGAUGACGGCCUUCGGGUUGUAAACCGCUUUCGCCUGUGACGAAGCGUGAGUGACGGUCAUGGGUAAAGAAGCACCGGCUAACUUCGUGC
Molecule: ribosomal RNA, 469 nt
Filed under: uncultured bacterium
Lineage: Bacteria
Description: partial 16S ribosomal RNA
Rfam family: Bacterial small subunit ribosomal RNA
Source: RNAcentral